This 428-nucleotide ribosomal RNA is filed under the name uncultured prokaryote. RNAcentral describes it as "bacterial SSU rRNA". It matches the Rfam family "Bacterial small subunit ribosomal RNA", at positions 355 to 774 of the family's 1533-position model. The record is from RNAcentral.
UGGGGAAUUUUGCGCAAUGGGGGAAACCCUGACGCAGCAACGCCGCGUGAGUGAUGAAGGCCUUCGGGUCGUAAAGCUCUGUCAGAGGGAAAGAAGUGUAUCAAUGCUAAUAUCAUUGGUACUUGACGGUACCCUCAAAGGAAGCACCGGCUAACUCCGUGCCAGCAGCCGCGGUAAUACGGAGGGUGCGAGCGUUGUUCGGAAUUAUUGGGCGUAAAGCGCGUGUAGGCGGUUUUUUAAGUCUGAUGUGAAAGCCCCGGGCUCAACCUGGGAAGUGCAUUGGAAACUGGGAGACUUGAAUACGGGAGAGGGGAGUGGAAUUCCUGGUGUAGGAGUGAAAUCCGUAGAUAUCAGGAGGAACACCGGUGGCGAAGGCGGCUACCUGGACCGAUAUUGACGCUGAGACGCGAAAGCGUGGGGAGCAAACA